Molecule: unclassified non-coding RNA, 337 nt
Filed under: soil metagenome
Description: partial contains 5.8S ribosomal RNA, internal transcribed spacer 2, and large subunit ribosomal RNA
Rfam family: 5.8S ribosomal RNA (bases 1-120)
Source: RNAcentral
GAUGAAGAACGCAGCGAAAUGCGAUAAGUAAUGUGAAUUGCAGAAUUCAGUGAAUCAUCGAAUCUUUGAACGCACAUUGCGCCCCUUGGUAUUCCGAGGGGCAUGCCUGUUCGAGCGUCAUUACACCACUCAAGCUAUGCUUGGUAUUGGGCGUCGUCCUUAGUUGGGCGCGCCUUAAAGACCUCGGCGAGGCCACCCCGGCUUUAGGCGUAGUAGAAUUUAUUCGAACGUCUGUCAAAGGAGAGGAACUCUGCCGACUGAAACCUUUAUUUUUCUAGGUUGACCUCGGAUCAGGUAGGGAUACCCGCUGAACUUAAGCAUAUCAAUAAGCGGAGGA